GUGCUCACUCUGGCUGCACAUAUAUUAAAUUGGAAUGAUACAGAAAAGAUUAGUGUGGUCCCUGUGCAAAAAUGACACACAAAUUCAUGAAGUGUAAAAAAAAAUA
This is a small nuclear RNA of Perognathus longimembris pacificus (Pacific pocket mouse), 106 nucleotides long. The record is from RefSeq and is a predicted model, not a curated record. NCBI's taxonomy places the organism in Eukaryota, Metazoa, Chordata, Mammalia, Rodentia, Heteromyidae.